RNAcentral lists this ribosomal RNA (301 nucleotides) under uncultured bacterium. Its description in RNAcentral is "partial 16S ribosomal RNA". It matches the Rfam family "Bacterial small subunit ribosomal RNA", at positions 509 to 809 of the family's 1533-position model. The record is from RNAcentral.
CAGCCGCCGCGGUAAUACGAAGGGGGCUAGCGUUGUUCGGAUUUACUGGGCGUAAAGGGUGCGUAGGCGGAUUGUUAAGUCAGGGGUGAAAUGCCGGGGCUCAACCUCGGAACUGCCUUUGAUACUGGCGAUCUUGAGUCCGGGAGAGGUGAGUGGAACUGCGAGUGUAGAGGUGAAAUUCGUAGAUAUUCGCAAGAACACCAGUGGCGAAGGCGGCUCACUGGCCCGGAACUGACGCUGAGGCACGACAGCGUGGGGAGCAAAUAGGAUUAGAUACCCCCGUAGUCCCUGUCUCUUAUAA